CAGAAAUAGCAUAACCUUCCCAGCACGGGUGCCCCAGCCUCCAGCCAGACCACAGGCCAGCUCCUUUCUGAGACCAGAGGCCAGCACUGUUCUCAAAAGAGGGAAGGUUUUCAGCUGGCAGCGAGCUGAGCUGAGGCUGGCACGCCUCUCCUGGGUCCUGUCACGUGAAGAGGGGGAAGUCCUCCAAGGCUCCUGUGGACAGACAGCAGGGGCACUUUCCCAGCUAAAGCACGAGCUCUGGCAUAGGUCUCUGCAUCCAACUUGAAUAGACCACAUCAGCUUCUCCCCAGGUGAUAGUUCCCCCAAGCAGAAUGCACAUUGCCA
This 324-nucleotide long non-coding RNA is filed under the name Homo sapiens (human). RNAcentral describes it as "non-protein coding lnc-SALL3-2:1". Lineage: Eukaryota; Metazoa; Chordata; Mammalia; Primates; Hominidae. The record is from RNAcentral.